UCAAGCCAAUGAUGAAACAAGUUAUCCCUGUCUGAAACUUAGUGUUGAGUCAAUGGUAACCUGAGGCUUGA
Small nucleolar RNA from Labrus bergylta (ballan wrasse), 71 nucleotides. Ensembl annotates it as small nucleolar RNA R38. The record is from Ensembl. NCBI's taxonomy places the organism in Eukaryota, Metazoa, Chordata, Actinopteri, Labriformes, Labridae.